CCUACGGGAGGCAGCAGUGGGGAAUAUUGGGCAAUGGGCGCAAGCCUGACCCAGCAACGCCGCGUGAAGGAAGAAGGCUUUCGGGUUGUAAACUUCUUUUGACAGGGAAGAGUAGAAGACGGUACCUGUCGAAUAAGCCACGGCUAACUACGUGCCAGCAGCCGCGGUAAUACGUAGGUGGCAAGCGUUGUCCGGAUUUACUGGGUGUAAAGGGCGUGUAGGCGGCACUACAAGUCUCAUGUGAAAUACCCGGGCUUAACUUGGGGGUUGCAUGGGAAACUGUAGAGCUUGAGUACAGGAGAGGCAAGCGGAAUUCCUAGUGUAGCGGUGAAAUGCAUAGAUAUUAGGAGGAACACCAGUGGCGAAGGCGGCUUGCUGGACUGUAAAUGACGCUGAGGCUCGAAAGCGUGGGGAGCAAACAGGAUUAGAUACCCGGGUAGUC
This 442-nucleotide ribosomal RNA is filed under the name uncultured bacterium. Its description in RNAcentral is "partial 16S ribosomal RNA". It matches the Rfam family "Bacterial small subunit ribosomal RNA", at positions 338 to 795 of the family's 1533-position model. The record is from RNAcentral.